GUUCCUGGCUCAGGACGAACGCUGGCGGCGCGCCCAACACAUGCAAGUCGAACGAGCGAGAGAGAGCUUGCUUUCUCAAGCGAGUGGCGAACGGGUGAGUAACACGUGAGGAACCUGCCUCAAAGAGGGGGACAACAGUUGGAAACGACUGCUAAUACCGCAUAAGCCCACGACCCGGCAUCGGGUAGAGGGAAAAGGAGCAAUCCGCUUUGAGAUGGCCUCGCGUCCGAUUAGCUAGUUGGUGAGG
This 247-nucleotide ribosomal RNA is filed under the name uncultured bacterium. Its description in RNAcentral is "partial 16S ribosomal RNA". It matches the Rfam family "Bacterial small subunit ribosomal RNA", at positions 15 to 257 of the family's 1533-position model. The record is from RNAcentral.